RNAcentral lists this ribosomal RNA (253 nucleotides) under uncultured bacterium. Its description in RNAcentral is "partial 16S ribosomal RNA". It matches the Rfam family "Bacterial small subunit ribosomal RNA", at positions 524 to 776 of the family's 1533-position model. The record is from RNAcentral.
UACGAAGGGUGCAAGCGUUAGUCGGAAUUACUGGGCGUAAAGCGUGCGUAGGUGGUUUCUUAAGUCCGUUGUGAAAGCCCUGGGCUCAACCUGGGAACUGCAGUGGAUACUGAGAGGCUAGAGUGUGUCAGAGGAUGGUGGAAUUCCCGGUGUAGCGGUGAAAUGCGUAGAGAUCGGGAGGAACAUCAGUGGCGAAGGCGGCCAUCUGGGACAACACUGACGCUGAGGCACGAAAGCGUGGGGAGCAAACAGG